Non-coding RNA from Pyronema omphalodes CBS 100304, 102 nucleotides. The record is from Rfam. Lineage: Eukaryota; Fungi; Ascomycota; Pezizomycetes; Pezizales; Pyronemataceae.
GCGCUAAUAGCUCAGUUGGGAGAGCGUCAGACUGAAGUCAAAUCGGUCCUAUCCACAUCCGGGGUAAUCUGAAGGUCACCCGUUCAAUCCGGGUUUGGCGCA